This 7087-nucleotide long non-coding RNA is filed under the name Gallus gallus (chicken). Its description in RNAcentral is "lncRNA (ENSGALG00010015817.1)". The record is from RNAcentral. Lineage: Eukaryota; Metazoa; Chordata; Aves; Galliformes; Phasianidae.
GGCCGGGCCGGGCCGGGCCGGAGCGGGAGGGGCGGAGAGGGGAGAGCUGGGCGCGCACGGGGCCGCACCUCAGUGAUAAACCGUGUGUGCGUUGCCGAGGGAGGUGUCUGAAGCGCUAUGGGAAGCACAAGCAGGACAGAAAUUCCAGGAGGGGAGGCGGUGUGAACGCAGUUUUGAAGACAUUGAUCCCUUCCUAGGAUGGAAGAGGAAGGAAAGUAGGCACGUGCUUUGGGUACCAAUCAAAGAAAAACGACACUGGACAAAGUUUAAGUAUCUUUAAAUUUACUUAGCUGGGAAGAUGAAAUUGACCCAAAUACUCUUGCCGCUUAAAUCAAGAUGGUAUCUGGACACAGUAGAGGUUUGUUUAUUGAUUCUUAGAUGAAACGAGGGCUGUUAGACAUUCUGGAGGCCAACCUGACAAGACUGGACCCAGAAAAAGGACAGUGCUUCAAAGUCUGAAGGUGACAUUGAAGGAGCUCGGCAGCAGAUUCAAAAAAUCCCAACCGAUUCAAUAGGCAUUAUACGCGCUCUGUGUGUACUUUCUCCUGAGCUUGGCAACCACACAAGUGCUGGCAUUGCUACUUACUCUAAGAUUGCAGUCUGUAUCAGAUUGUGUGCUGAGGAAAAGAAUAAGCUUUUACCAUCAUGGAUGGCAUCAGUAUUCACAACUCCUGCAGUACCUAAAAAAUGAAGACCAGAUAAUGCAAAGUUUCCAAUGAAAUCAACAUGCAUUUAAGUCAGUUAAAUGACUUCAAUCUACAGAGAGGAAAAAUAAUUACAAAUAUCACUUCUCUAACACACAAGAUCACAGCACUGUAAUUGGAAAUGUUACUGGCAUGGUGCCCUUUCCCUGUGCUGACGGUAUUUCCAAGCGUGCUGCCUUAUUGUUUCUGUGCUAGAUUGAUAUUAAAGCAACUACAAUGAAAGGGAAUGACUCGAAAAUUUUCCAGUACUAGGCUUGAUGCCCAUGGCAUUUUGAAACUUUCUGCCCACCUUCUUCCACUCAGCAUAACCAAAGGCAAAAUAGAUGCAACCAAGACAAGUGUUCAUUAGUAGGAGGUUCUGUAUUUUCCUACCUUCUCCCAGAUCAAGGUGAAAAACGUGGGCUUUAUGACGUAUGCAGUGUUAGCUCUACUGUAGCAAUCAGUAAGUUGUACUAUAGGAGAAUGACACAUUUUUAUCAGCUAGCUCACUGAAAGGAAGGACUGGUUGCAAGUGAUAUUUGUACAGGGCAAUCUCUUGAGAGGUAGAUGGCUGAGAGGCAAGGUUGUCAGCAGCUGGACCCUCAAAGGUAGUUUUAUAUUAAGAAAACAUCGGAGAAUCCUGCUAGGGAACAAUGCCACCAGUGUGUGGGCAUAAAUAGAUGGAUUUUACUUACGUAAGCCCUUAAAAAUCCCUGUGUGAUUAAUAGAAGCUUAAUAAAGGGGACAGCUGCAUUUGUAAGGAAUCUGUACCCAUUAGGUGAACUCAUACUUCUUGUUCUUCCUAAGCUAAGAUAGCUCUUUCUCUCUUGAAUUGUUACCAGGCUUUUUUGCGUACUGAUCCCAGAGAGCAAGUGAUCUUUUAAAAAUCAUGUUUUACCCAGAACUACAGGAACAAAACAAUUUUUCUGAACUAGUUACUCGUCUGUAGUUGAGCCUAGUUGGGAAUGGUUACUGGAACUAACAGUGGACAGUUUAUUUCUUCCAUGGAGAACAAAAGAGCCUUUUGGAAACACUCAUUUUCAGUUUCCUUUGCUGCACCAAGCCUAGUAAGAGUAUAUUUUCGAUGCUAAAAUGUUAACGUGUUGGGCUGAUGAACAUCCCUUGGACAGUAGGAUUACACAACAAGAUCAGUAGCCCCACAAUCCCGUACUUUCCAGUUAGUUUUGAGAUAAACAUAUAGGUAUGUUCUGCCUUUUCUUUUGAUAACCUUUCCUUCCUUUUUGUAAAUAGAGGUUUUAAACUCAGAAGAGAAUAUUUUCUGCCCCUGGUACAUCUGUAUCAACUUCAUCCCCCUCAGCAAGCUGCCAACUCUGCAACUAUACACAGGCUUCCAUUAGGUGCAUACCAUUUUAUCCAGGACAGAAAGAUGGACUUAUUUUAUAAAACAGGAUGAAGUGGAGAGAGUAGAUUCAGUAGGACAACUAGUUAAUAUAAAUUACUAAGAAAUACAAUGCUAAAAAUAUCCUGUCUCCAUCAGUUUAAAUUCACACCUACUCCUAUCUGAGCAGGAGAGAGAAAACAGAAAUCUCCUUCAGCUUUCAAAACUUCAUCCAUCUCCUGAGAAUCAAAUCUUCAGCUGGCAGAUGUCAGCAGGCAGCACCAGAACCGUACUAUAUUCCUGAAGGAUCCACUCUUCAACACCAGACUGCCACAACUGGAACGUCAGAGUUACAGAUAACUCUCAGCAUUCCUUGGGGACAGUUAAAUUCCCUGGAGGCCUUGUAUGUUGCUGUCAGCCUGACUGGGUAGUAAAGCAGACCAUGACUUCAGCAGGUGAACAGAGGGUGCACAUAAUGCUUUAGUCUCUUCCUGUUCCUAUGCCUGUUACCAGCUUUGCCUUUUAUAUUCUCACAAACCAAUUGCUUUCCUGAAAUGGACAUUAGGUCCUGAUGAACCACAUCAGCAAUACACUGGCUGUUUAAUUCCUGAGGAAAGGAGAGCAUUAAGCAAACCAAACACAAAAGAUGGUACUGAGUGGACUUGGAGUGGACAGUGAACAAAGGGAAAGGAACCUAAGACAGAUGCAUUGUGUAGUUUAUACUGUUUAGGUAAAACUAACAAUAGUACACCAGGCUGGAAUGUAAAUGGUGGAAAUGUGGGUACAAAUUUCUUUUAGGCUGUUUAAGUUAAGGCUGUUACUGUGAAAAAUGAUAUAGCUUCUAAUUAGAAUGCAUGUUGAAAACUCUGCAUCAUAAAAAUGGAAAAUAGAAUCUGAACAUGCUGCGUAUCAUGAAUCCGACUGAACAGGACUCGGGGAGGAAAUUACAAGUGUGUUUUAGCAGUCACUGCAGAUUAUCUCAUGGGUUCUUUAUAUAUACAUGUUUUUGUGGUGUCAAGCUGCAGGAGCUUAGGAGUUCUGUAGAGCUUGUUGCAAGUGCUGUAGCUCAGUAGAUGUCUGAGACUUUUCAACAAGACUGAAGAUCCCAUCCCCGGCCAUGGUGAGUUACUGUAGACCAUACUAUAUGACCAUACCAUAGACCAGCACCAUAUGGGUGCUGAGACCACAACUCUGAAAAAGUUGUGCAGACAUGCUCAACGCUGCAUGCUGCGAGUUGGCCCAGAAAAAAACAAGAAGGCUUUUAUAGGAAUCUGGAGACUUUUGCAAAAGACUAGCCCCAGAUGUGGACAAAGUAGGACGCAGUCUAGAACAGCGGAGUGACUGUGGUCCAACAGACUACUUUGUCUGUAGUAAACCAGAUUGGCUCCUACUACUGCUGUUGUCACCAUGGUACAGACAGGAUGUCUGGUGUGAUGUAUGUUCACUGCUGGGAUUGAGGGUCCUCUCCAGCAGUGCUGUAUCUGGCAAUAUGCUAUCUGCCUUCAGAAGUCCUGGAGUUGACCACUACUUCACUGUAUGGUCUCCAGCCUGUCUCCUCAUUCCUUUCCCUUGGCAACAGCAUCCCCAUCCUGAGUCCCUCAGCUUUGAGGCAGAAACAUUGCAUUUAGCAUGUGUUGAGAUUGUUGAGCUGGCUAUGCUUUGUAGGAGUGAGUCUUGUUUAUACCAGAAAUUCACACUGAUUAUAUGCAACUGUCAUGUUCAGUUCCUUGGUAAGUUUUGUCAAACAAACAAACAAAGAUACCUUGUAAAGAGAAUUGGAAUGGGGUAAGGCAACCAAAUCCAGGACAAUGCAGUAGCAAAAUAUGGGUGGAAAUCAGAUGUGCAUGCACCAUUUAUCAUAAUUGGAGAUUAUUUGAUGGUAUCACUACACUUGUACACUUUCAUGCCUUUAAAAAAAAAUCUAAGAAAAAUUGUGCUAAGUUAUUUUACCAACAAAUAGUACCUAAAGGUAUUACUCUUAGAUAGUUAUGAACAAGAGAGAAGUGAUGUCGUACAGUGCUAUUCAUAUACCACACAACUAAACUCACCAGCUUUCUAAGAGGAACAAUCAAAACAACAUUCUCUCCCCUACCCAGAGCAGACAGAUCCAUAAAUUCUAUAAACCUCACAUUUCCACAAAAUACCGGUCUCAUUGUGUUCGAAAUCGUUAGACUUGGUGAAUGAGUGAUGCAGAACCUCCUUACAGAAUUGCAGUAUUACACUAAAAAUGCAGUUGAGGUACAUCUCAUCAGGCUCUGAAUCUCUCCACUGAUUUUUGGCAGGAAUCUGCUCCAUUGCCUUAUACUUACUAGAUCCUUUGUUCGAAAGGAGAACUAAACAGUCGAAAUUGAUUAUCACAUAAUUGUUUCAAAGGAAACCAAAAGAUGCAGUAGUUAAGAAGAAGUAAUUAGAUAGAGUCUACUACUUUUUGAAAACAUUGCUCUGGGGAAUAAGUUCUGAAGUAGUAAUUCAUGUGAAAUACAUAGCUAGUGUUCUGUUCAGAGGGGGAGAAAAGAAAAGCAACCUGAGUUCUGCACUUCUAAUAGCUAUAAGAGUCUCUUCUAAAUUUGUGAUCUUUUCAUAUGUUUCUGGAUUCCCCUGUUCUGUUAAAGCAGAAAUUCACAGAUGCAAGUGGAAAUAUCUUGACAGUAGGAGGGAGUAAAAGGUAACCAGCAUGAAGAACAGCUGUGAAACACAGGCAAGACAUUGGUUUCACUGUUUUUUUUUUUUUUCAUUUUUCCCUUAAAUGAUUUGUGUUGGUGAGGUUUGCAUUCUGAAAGCUUUUGCUCCCUGUUAAUGCAGAUUCUCAUCUGGGAUUAUAUACAUUUAAAUCCUCGUACUGUUGUAAGCAAUGAACAUUAGCAACCUUUAUUUACACUGCUGUUCUAUAAAAAGCAGAGGGAAUGCCCAAAAGAGGAUAUUUUCCUUUGGCACAAGGACACAACCUGAUUAGAACAUUAUAUAAUAUUAAUACUCAUUUGGCAUAUUUUUUGAGGCAGAUCUAGAAAUUCAACACCUGUGAUGGUGGUGGCAACUGCAUGCUGGAAAAAAUGAAAUCGUCUGUCUGAGAACUUUUUAAUGAGUUGUUCAGAACUAAUUGGUAAAUGUAGCUGAGAAGGAGCACAUGGGAGGGAAAGAAGAGUGGCUGCCAACACUGCAAGAGUCCCUGUUCCUUCCUUUGCAGUCAUGACAGUAAGGGAAUGUUGCGGACAUAAGUAGAGAUAGGAUGGAGGAGGACCAGGAAUACUGACAGAUAACCCCAACCUCAGCCAGAGGCCAAGUACCCAAGCUUCAUGCAAGCGCUCAGAAAAGGAAUUGGGCACUGAAGAAGCAGCCAACUCAAAACAAUUCUGUGAUGGAGCUUAUGCCAGGAACCAAGGCCAGCCUCCAUGUUGGCAGGGCAGUGAAUCCACUGACCCAAGUGCAGUGCCCUGUAACUUGGCAACAUGAGCAAAGACAGAUUCAGUGACAAUCCUAGAUAAGGCACAGUGAAGAACCAGCUUGACAGUCCAGCCAGGCAGUCUAGUCAGGAGCAGAGAGCGCUGCAGCUUGAGGCUGCAAUACAAACCUGUUUGAGCCAAAGUCUGAAGCAAGCACAGAUACAACAUUCGCAUAAUUCAGAGCAAAAGUAGGUUCCCAGACCUGAGCUUGAAUAGCUCUGGAACAUGGGAGAGAGUGGGCAGGGUCCCAGAUGAGGCAGGUUUGGGCAAUUAAGACCUGUUAACGUACCCAGGACUCUAAGGAGAAAAAAGAAAAUGGUUCUUAGUUUCUGUUGUGUUAUAUGUCUUUCUGCUUGCUGAGAAGCAGUAAUAUGAAGUAUGUGUUUUUGGUUCAUCAGAACAAUAACUGCUGCCUCAGCAGCAGUCGUUCCAAAGAGAACAGAGAGAACUCUGUAGAUUAAAAAAGAAAGAAAGAAAAAAGAAGGAAAAAAAAAAAGAAAAACACCACCACUACCAAGUCAAUAGGCAUUACAAAAUUAAGAGCAGAGGAAUGAAUUAGACUUACAGAGAAUGAAUGAGGCUUACAGAUGGGGUAAAUUCCCCAUCUAUGAGUGGUGAAUUCCCAGGUAAAGAAGGUUUGCACAGGAAAUGUUAAUAGUACAUGAGGGGCAAAAAGUGGGGGAGAGGAGUGUGGCAAGGAGAAAAGUUUGCAGCAUGGUGAAGAAGAAGUCUGAGGUGGAAAAUGGAGCAAGAGACCCAUGCAAAAACAAAACAUAACACACGCACACCUCCCCCUCCCCCCCAAAACAAACAAACAAACAAAAACACAAAGGAUGGAGGAAAAAGACACUUUGCUGUUUGGCUGAAGGAAGUCAUUAAACUGAAAUCUGGGAGAAGAUCGUAGAGGUGAAGGAGGGAAGACUGAAACUAUCUUCUGAAUGACAGCCCAUAGACUAUCUAGUGUUCUGAAUGAGUCAACAAAUCUCUUUCCAUUUGUGGAACCCUCAAAAUACCUCUAGUUACAUUUGUAACCUCUCCUGUGGAAAUGCAUUUCACUUUCUGUACCACUCAAGAGCCUCACAACUAGAAACGAUGAUUAUUGAGACCAACUGUCCCAUCAGUAACCAACUUGAAUAGAAUGACCAAUGAAUGUGACAACAGGCAGUGGAACGUUAAUGAGUUAAAUAAUGAUAAUCCUAUAGAUGAUAAGUGGGAAUGACAAAACAACCAUGUUGGCUCUUGCUCACUCUAAGCUUGUGCAUCAAAGAAGUAUAGUCAGUUUCAUAGCAAAGCAAAAGCUGAGAUAAAAGGGCUGAGGCUGUCUGUGAUCUGAUCUUUACCAUAAAAAGGGGAGGAUGUUUUAUGAACUAUCACUCUGAGUACAAAUAAAUGUAGAAUUUAAGAAAGAACUGAUGUAUUUGAUUUAUAAAUAAAGUGUAGAGAACAAUCCCUGAUGUGUAAGAAUUCUUUACAGCCUGCAAGGACUCCUGUCCACUUUUACAACCCAAUACAGAUCAUGUUGCAAAGUAAAUUAUUACAUGUUACCUUCUGUAGCAGAUGCAUUAACAUCCAAACAGAUUGUAAAGAGAUUAUAAAAUGGUUAGUACACUUGUUGCAUAGCAGAG